RNAcentral lists this non-coding RNA (93 nucleotides) under Clostridium amazonitimonense. Its description in RNAcentral is "Purine riboswitch". It matches the Rfam family "Purine riboswitch aptamer". Rfam says of the family: Riboswitches are metabolite binding domains within certain messenger RNAs that serve as precision sensors for their corresponding targets. The record is from RNAcentral. Lineage: Bacteria; Bacillati; Bacillota; Clostridia; Eubacteriales; Clostridiaceae.
AAUUAAAUAAUAUAAUUUCGUAUAUGCUGGAUAAUAUGGAUCUAGCGUUUCUACAGGGGGCCUUAAACUACCUGACUACGAAUGUAUAGUUAC